CUGGCUGAAGUCGGACGCUUAACCGACUGCGCCACCCAGGCGCCCCAACUUUUGCUUUUAAUGUCUAUGUUAUAUAGCCAUAGAUGUAGGAAUCCAAAUUAAGGGAGGAGAAAGCACAGAAGGACAACAAAUUGACCGUAGGGGAUCAGAUUGAAUCGACUACAAGGUGGUCAGUCAUCAUUUUGGACUCUCUGAAUACACUGGUGGACAGGUGUGUAAGUCUCAGAGUCAAGGAGCUUCUUCUAGGGGCUUGCAGUAUUUCACUACCCUCUCCCACCACUUGACAUCAUGAGCAGCCUGGAAAAUGUAUUUUCUUUAGCGGUCAUGGCUCAGGAUUCCUGAGUUGUCCACUUUUUUUUCUUAUGAAUCAGGAAGACAUGAGAACUAAAGCAUCUUGAAAGGAGUGUUUGACCAUUCUGGGUCAGAGGGAGGCCCGGUAUCAUGUGGACUCAGACAGGGUAGCCAGAGGCAGCCUGGCAACAUCACAGAAGCAACAUCAUAUCCAGGAAGGUUUUAAGUCUGAAGAGGGAGGAGAGAAAGAACAAUGAGGAGCUUAUUAUCGUGAAACAAAAUGGCAGCAGGCGUGUUCCUGUAACUGCGCUGGAGAAAGCCUACAGUCCAGAGAACCACAGAGGAACACACUAAGGCUGUCUGCUUCUUGUUACCUGUGGUCAGCUGUGGUCCAGAAGCAGAUGAACCUCCUUCUGACGUAUUGUCAGAAGAGCAGAAAUAGCCUAAUGCUACAUCACAAAGCCUCAUCAUCCAGCUCACUUUUUGUCCUCAGGCAGCAUUUUAUCUUCUGACUCCAUCACAGGAAAAAGGGUUUCUACCGGUCAGAAAUCUGGACCCAGCUAAUUGGAUGGCUCCGGCUUCUGGUCUAUCAUGAGGUUGUCAUCAAGCUGGGGACCAAGGCUACAGUCAUCUCAAGGCUCAGCUGGGGCUGGAUAAUCUGCUUCCAAGAUUGCUCCCAUGCCCUUGGUUCCUGUCUUAAUCUGCUAGGGGUGCCGUAACAAAAUGGGUGACGUCAACAGCAGAAAUUCAUUUUCUCACAAUUAUGAGGGCUACAAGUCUAAGAUCAAGGUGCCCGCAGGUCUGCUUUGUUCUGAGGCCUCUCUCCAUGGCUUGCAGAUAGCUGCUUUCUUGCUGUGUCCUUACAUGGCCUUUUCUCUGGGUGCAUGUGCGUCCUUGGUGUCCCUCUUUCUUAUAAGGACCGCAGUCAUAUUGGGCUAGCGUUCCACCUUAUUAUUACUAUUUUUUUAAUGUUUAUUUAUUUUCGAGGGAGACAGAGACAGAGUGUGAGCAGAGGAGGGGCAGACACACA
Molecule: long non-coding RNA, 1321 nt
Organism: Felis catus (domestic cat)
Lineage: Eukaryota; Metazoa; Chordata; Mammalia; Carnivora; Felidae
Exons: 4
Source: RefSeq, a predicted model, not a curated record